Molecule: ribosomal RNA, 1138 nt
Filed under: Salmonella enterica subsp. enterica serovar Typhimurium
Lineage: Bacteria; Pseudomonadati; Pseudomonadota; Gammaproteobacteria; Enterobacterales; Enterobacteriaceae
Description: partial 23S ribosomal RNA
Rfam family: Bacterial large subunit ribosomal RNA
Source: RNAcentral
GGCUAAACCAUGCACCGAAGCUGCGGCAGCGAACGUAUCACCCAAGACAACUUUACGGAGUUGACGAUUGACGGAGCGAAGCGACGUCAAAGCGUUCAUUAAAGUCGAGUUGGCUUAGGGAUACGUUCGUUGGGUAGGGGAGCGUUCUGUAAGCCUGUGAAGGUGUGUCGUGAGGCAUGCUGGAGGUAUCAGAAGUGCGAAUGCUGACAUAAGUAACGAUAAAGCGGGUGAAAAGCCCGCUCGCCGGAAGACCAAGGGUUCCUGUCCAACGUUAAUCGGGGCAGGGUGAGUCGACCCCUAAGGCGAGGCCGAAAGGCGUAGUCGAUGGGAAACGGGUUAAUAUUCCCGUACUUGGUGUUACUGCGAAGGGGGGACGGAGAAGGCUAUGUUGGCCGGGCGACGGUUGUCCCGGUUUAAGCGUGUAGGUGUGUGUUCCAGGUAAAUCCGGUUCACUUUAACACUGAGGCGUGACGACGAGGCACUACGGUGCUGAAGCAACAAAUGCCCUGCUUCCAGGAAAAGCCUCUAAGCAUCAGGUAACACGAAAUCGUACCCCAAACCGACACAGGUGGUCAGGUAGAGAAUACCAAGGCGCUUGAGAGAACUCGGGUGAAGGAACUAGGCAAAAUGGUGCCGUAACUUCGGGAGAAGGCACGCUGACACGUAGGUGAAGUGAUUUACUCACGGAGCUGAAGUCAGUCGAAGAUACCAGCUGGCUGCAACUGUUUAUUAAAAACACAGCACUGUGCAAACACGAAAGUGGACGUAUACGGUGUGACGCCUGCCCGGUGCCGGAAGGUUAAUUGAUGGGGUCAGCGCAAGCGAAGCUCCUGAUCGAAGCCCCGGUAAACGGCGGCCGUAACUAUAACGGUCCUAAGGUAGCGAAAUUCCUUGUCGGGUAAGUUCCGACCUGCACGAAUGGCGUAAUGAUGGCCAGGCUGUCUCCACCCGAGACUCAGUGAAAUUGAACUCGCUGUGAAGAUGCAGUGUACCCGCGGCAAGACGGAAAGACCCCGUGAACCUUUACUAUAGCUUGACACUGAACAUUGAGCCUUGAUGUGUAGGAUAGGUGGGAGGCUUUGAAGUGUGGACGCCAGUCUGCAUGGAGCCGACCUUGAAAUACCACCCUUUAAUGUUU